GGGCCCAAGGGAGAGCAGGACUGAGCAGAAAGAAAAGGUGGUUAGGUGAAGAGGGAACCAUGAUAAGAUCCAUCUGCUCCUGGAUCCACCCAUGCCUGACAUCCUGAUACUUUCCCCAGACCCUUCAGUUAAAAUGUUUUCAUCAUCCUAAACAGCAACUCUGUGCCCAUUAAACAACAGCUCCCUCAUCUCCCCUCUCUCCAGCCCUCUCCAGCAACUACCACUUCUACUUUCUGUCUACGAGUUUGACUACUCUGGGAACCUCGUAUACUCAUACGGUAUUUGUCCUUUUGUGUCUGGCUGAUGUCACUGAGCAUAAGAUCUCCGAGGUUCAUCCAUUUGCA
Molecule: long non-coding RNA, 344 nt
Organism: Pan troglodytes (chimpanzee)
Lineage: Eukaryota; Metazoa; Chordata; Mammalia; Primates; Hominidae
Exons: 2
Source: RefSeq, a predicted model, not a curated record